This 492-nucleotide ribosomal RNA is filed under the name uncultured bacterium. RNAcentral describes it as "partial 16S ribosomal RNA". It matches the Rfam family "Bacterial small subunit ribosomal RNA", at positions 29 to 507 of the family's 1533-position model. The record is from RNAcentral.
AGUGAACGCUGGCGGUAGGCCUAACACAUGCAAGUCGAACGGCAGCACAGUAAGAGCUUGCUCUUACGGGUGGCGAGUGGCGGACGGGUGAGGAAUACAUCGGAAUCUACUUUUUCGUGGGGGAUAACGUAGGGAAACUUACGCUAAUACCGCAUACGACCUACGGGUGAAAGCAGGGGAUCUUCGGACCUUGCGCGAUUGAAUGAGCCGAUGUCGGAUUAGCUAGUUGGCGGGGUAAAGGCCCACCAAGGCGACGAUCCGUAGCUGGUCUGAGAGGAUGACCACCCACAGGGGCAGUGACACACGCUCCAGACUCCUGCGGGAGGGGUGGGUGGGGAAUAGGGGAAAAGGGGGGCAAGUCUGACCCACCCAUCCGGGGUGGGUAAAAACGCCGUGUGGGUUCAAAGCCCUUUUUGUGGAAAAAAAAAAGCAGCAGUUAAAUACCCCCCUUUUCGGGCGUACCCAAAAAAAAAGCCCCCGGCAAUCUUGGCG